UAACACAUGCAAGUCGAGCGGUAUUGUUGUUUUUGAUCUCUUCGGAAUGAAAGAACUUCAAGAGAGCGGCGAACGGGUGAGUAACACGUUGAUAUCUGCCCCUAAGUCAGGGAUAGCCCGAGGAAACUCAGGAUUAAUACCGGAUGUGCUCUUCGGAGUAAAAAUUUAUUGCUUAGGGAGGAGUCUGCGUUCUAUCAGCUUGUUGGUAAGGUAAGAGCUUACCAAGGCUAUGACGGAUAGCUGGUCUGAGAGGAUGAUCAGUCACAAUGAAACUGAGACACGGUUCAUACUCCUACGGGAGGCAGCAGUGAGGAAUCUUCCACAAUGGACGAAAGUCUGAUGGAGCGACACCGCGUGAAGGAUGAAGGUCUAACGACUGUAAACUUCUUUUCUGAAGGAGCAUAAUGAGAGUACUUCAGGAAUAAGGGACGGCUAAAUACGUGCCAGCAGCCGCGGUAAUACGUGUGUCCCAAGCGUUACCCGGAAUUAUUGGGUGUAAAGGGUCUGUAGGUGGGAAAGCAAGUCAGGUAUGAAAGACCGAAGCUCAACUUCGUGUUUGUGCUUGAAACUACUUUUCUAGAAUCAGGGAGAGGUAAGCGGAAUUCUUAGUGUAGGAGUGCAAUCCGUAGAUACUAAGAAGAACACCAAAAGCGAAGGCAGCUUACUGGAACUGUAUUGACACUGAGAGACGAAAGCAUGGGGAGCGAAGAGGAUUAGAUACCCUCGCAGUCCAUGCCCUAAACGAUGAUAACUAAGUGUUGCGCAUUGGCGCAGUGCUGCAGCUAACGCGUUAAGUUAUCCACCUGAGGAGUACGAUCGCAAGAUUAAAACUCAAAGGAAUAGACGGGGACCUACACAAGCAGUGGAUCACGUGGUUUAAUUCGACAAUAAACGGGGAAUCUCACCCAGACUUGACAUCCUGAGAGUACACUGGAAACAGAGUAGUGCCCGCAAGGGAGCUCAGUGACAGGUGCUGCAUGGUUGUCGUCAGCUCGUGCCUUGAGGUGUUCGGUUAAGUCCGUUAACGAGCGCAACCCAUGUUCUUAGUUAUUAUGUCUAAGAAGACUGCCUUGGUUAACAAGGAGGAAGGUGUGGAUGACGUCAAAUCAGCAUGGCUUUUACGUCUGGGGCUACACACAUGAUACAAUGGUCUGUACAAAGAGCAGCAAUAUUGCGAAAUGGAGCUAAUCUUCAAAGCAGAUCUCAGUCCGGAUUGGAGUCUGAAACUCGACUCCAUGAAGUUGGAAUUGCUAGUAAUCGCGAAUCAGAUAUGUCACGGUGAAUAUGUUCCUAGGUCUUGUACUCACCGCCCGUCACGGCAUGGAAGUUAGUAAUGCCGGAA
This 1342-nucleotide ribosomal RNA is filed under the name uncultured bacterium. RNAcentral describes it as "bacterial SSU rRNA". It matches the Rfam family "Bacterial small subunit ribosomal RNA", at positions 49 to 1425 of the family's 1533-position model. The record is from RNAcentral.